This 446-nucleotide ribosomal RNA is filed under the name uncultured bacterium. RNAcentral describes it as "bacterial SSU rRNA". It matches the Rfam family "Bacterial small subunit ribosomal RNA", at positions 329 to 792 of the family's 1533-position model. The record is from RNAcentral.
GGCCAGACUCCUACGGGAGGCAGCAGUGGGGAAUAUUGCACAAUGGGGGAAACCCUGAUGCAGCGACGCCGCGUGAGCGAUGAAGUAUUUCGGUAUGUAAAGCUCUAUCAGCAGGGAAGAAAAUGACGGUACCUGACUAAGAAGCCCCGGCUAACUACGUGCCAGCAGCCGCGGUAAUACGUAGGGGGCAAGCGUUAUCCGGAUUCACUGGGUGUAAAGGGAGCGUAGACGGCCAUGCAAGCCAGGGGUGAAAGCCCGGGGCCCAACCCCGGGACUGCCCUUGGAACUGUGCGGCUAGAGUGCGGGAGGGGCAGGCGGAAUUCCUGGUGUAGCGGUGAAAUGCGUAGAUAUCAGGAGGAACACCGGCGGCGAAGGCGGCCUGCUGGACGAUGACUGACGUUGAGGCUCGAAAGCGUGGGGAGCAAACAGGAUUAGAUACCCGUGUA